This is a long non-coding RNA of Schistocerca gregaria, 551 nucleotides long. RefSeq lists it as uncharacterized. The record is from RefSeq and is a predicted model, not a curated record. Lineage: Eukaryota; Metazoa; Arthropoda; Insecta; Orthoptera; Acrididae. The transcript has 2 exons.
UUUGCGACAUGGACAUUAAUUAAGAAAUAUGUGAAGUAAAUAAUUGUUAAGAUUUGACCUGUUAUAAUAUAAGGUUCUUCAACAGGUCGUUUACCAAUUCAUGUUAGUAAGCAUACAACAACUACUAUAAUUCAGAAUAAAAUUUGAUUAAUAGGGUAAAAUUGAAUGCCUCGGAAUGGUGUUUUAUUAUAAAAUGGUAAAAUUAUUAAGAUUCUAAUUGAUAAAAAUAAUGCAAUAACACCUCCUAACUUAUUAGGGAUAGAUCGUAGAAUUGCAUAUGCAAAUAGGAAAUAUCAUUCUGGUUGAAUGUGAACUGGUGUUACUAAUGGGUUGGCAGGUACAAAGUUAUCUGGAUCUCCUAAUAGGUAAGGAUUAAUUAAACAUAGUAUAAUUAAUAAUGAUGUUAUUAUUACAAAUGUAAUAGAAUCCUUAAAGGUAAAGUAUGGAUGGAAUGGAAUUUUUUCAAUAUCUCCAUUUAGUCCAAGAGGAUUAUUAGAUCCUGUUUGGUGAAGAAAAAAUAAAUGAAUUGCUGCUAUAGCAGCAAUAAUAAA